RNAcentral lists this ribosomal RNA (565 nucleotides) under uncultured Glomus. RNAcentral describes it as "SSU rRNA". It matches the Rfam family "Eukaryotic small subunit ribosomal RNA", at positions 546 to 1106 of the family's 1831-position model. The record is from RNAcentral. Lineage: Eukaryota; Fungi; Glomeromycota; Glomeromycetes; Glomerales; Glomeraceae.
AAUUGGAGGGCAAGUCUGGUGCCAGCAGCCGCGGUAAUUCCAGCUCCAAUAGCGUAUAUUAAAGUUGUUGCAGUUAAAAAGCUCGUAGUUGAAUUUCGGGAUUGACACAUCGGUCGUGCCUUAAGGGGUAUGAACUGGUGUAGUCAAUUUCUCACCUUCUGGAGAACCGCGAUGCCCUUAAUUGGGUGUCACGGGGAACCAGGACCUUUACUUUGAAAAAAUUAGAGUGUUUAAAGCAGGCAUUUUGCUUGAAUACAUUAGCAUGGAAUAAUAAAAUAGGACGGCAUGAUUCUAUUUUGUUGGUUUCUAGGAUCACCGUAAUGAUUAAUAGGGAUAGUUGGGGGCAUUAGUAUUCAAUUGUCAGAGGUGAAAUUCUUGGAUUUAUUGAAGACUAACUACUGCGAAAGCAUUUGCCAAGGAUGUUUUCAUUAAUCAAGAACGAAAGUUAGGGGAUCGAAGACGAUCAGAUACCGUCGUAGUCUUAACCAUAAACUAUGCCGACUAGGAAUCAGACGAUGUUAAUUUUUUAAUGACUCGUUUGGCACCUUACGGGAAACCAAAGUGU